AAGUCGUAACAAGGUUUCCGUAGGUGAACCUGCGGAAGGAUCAUUACCGAAGUCCGGGCCCUCUCCAGGGCUCAACUUCCACCCUCUGUCUACCACCCUCUGUUGCUUUGGCGAGACGCCAUUGGCCACCGGCUUCGGCUGGUGCGUGCUCGCCAGAGACCCCCAAACCCAACCCAUUUUUAGUGUCGUCUGAUACCAAGUUUAAUAAUUAAAACUUUCAACAACGGAUCUCUUGGCUCUG
Molecule: unclassified non-coding RNA, 241 nt
Filed under: fungal sp.
Lineage: Eukaryota; Fungi
Description: partial internal transcribed spacer region
Rfam family: Eukaryotic small subunit ribosomal RNA (bases 1-46)
Source: RNAcentral